AACGAACGCUGGCGGCAGGCCUAAAACAUGCAAGUCGAACGCCCCGCAAGGGGAGUGGCGCACGGGUGAGUAACGCGUGGGAACGUGCCCUUCAGUACGGGACAACGUCGGGAAACUGACGCUCAUACCGUAUAAUGACUCCGGUCCAAAGAUUUAUCGCUGAAGGAGCGGCCCGCGUCUGAUUAGCUAGUUGGUGAGGUAAUGGCUCACCAAGGCUACGAUCAGUAGCAGGUCUGAGAGGAUGAUCUGCCACACUGGGACUGAGACACGGCCCAGACUCCUACGGGAGGCAGCAGUUAGGAAUAUUGGACAAUGGGGGAAACCCUGAUCCAGCCAUGCCGCGUGUGUGAUGAAGGCCCUAGGGUUGUAAAGCACUUUCGUUGGGGAUGAUAAUGACCGUACCCAAAGAAGAAGCACCGGCUAACUUCGUGCCAGCCGCCGCAGUAA
This 447-nucleotide ribosomal RNA is filed under the name uncultured bacterium. RNAcentral's name for it is "partial 16S ribosomal RNA". It matches the Rfam family "Bacterial small subunit ribosomal RNA", at positions 29 to 523 of the family's 1533-position model. The record is from RNAcentral.